RNAcentral lists this transfer RNA (68 nucleotides) under Geocapromys thoracatus. Its description in RNAcentral is "tRNA-Ala". The record is from RNAcentral. Lineage: Eukaryota; Metazoa; Chordata; Mammalia; Rodentia; Capromyidae.
GAGGGUUUAGCUUAAUUAAAGUGUCUGUUUUGCAUUCAGGCGAUGUAAUUUUWNUAUUACAACCUUUA